Molecule: long non-coding RNA, 1451 nt
Filed under: Olea europaea subsp. europaea
Lineage: Eukaryota; Viridiplantae; Streptophyta; Magnoliopsida; Lamiales; Oleaceae
Source: RNAcentral
CUUUCUUCGGCACUAGGAGAGCAGGAACUACACAAUGACUCAUACUCUCACGAAUGUAGCCCCUUUCCAAUAAUUCUAUCACCUGUCGCUGCAACUCUUCAGCUUCCUUGGGACUGAGGCGAUAUGCUGGUCAGUUUGGUAGACUCGACCCCGGAAUGAGGUCGAUCUGAUGUUGAAUGUCCCUCAUAGGUGGUAGUCUUGGAGGAAGAUCCUUUGGCAUCAAGUCAGAAAACUCCAUCAGUAGUUGCUGUACUUCUGCUGGAAAUUCUGAAUCCACACUCACUGUACUAUUUUCACGAGGCAUUAAAGCAUAAACUAUUUUUUCACGCCCAACCUCAACCAAAAACCUGGACAUAGAAAGUAGAUUGGGGUUUUUAACUACCGGGGUAGGGAUGUUUCCUUCCCUGCGAGGCACCAAAACAAUUCCCUUUCCUUUGAUACUAAGAGAAUAAGUAUUCUUCCGCCCAUCAUGGAUAACACUGCUAUCAUACUACCAAGGUCGUCCCAACAAAACAUGACAGGCGUCCAUUGAUACCACAUCACACCAAGCAUUAUCAAAAUAUUUUUUUCCAAUUGAGAAAGACACUAAGCAUUGUUUUUCUACCGUUACCUCACUGCCUUUAUUCAGCCAAGACAACUUGUAUGGUUUGGGAUGACGAUCCAUCUUCAGUUGCAGUUUCUCGAUAGCCUCCUCAGACACUACAUUCUCACAACUGCCACUAUCAAUUAUCAGCUUACAAACUUUAUCAGCAACUGUGCAGGUUGUGUGGAAAACGUUGGUCCUCAACCAAUCAUCCCCUGAGUCGCCCUUGGGAGUCAGCAGGCUCUUUCGAACAACUAGGGUCUCCUGACCAUCUCCAUAUAGCACGUCCUCAUCUUCAUCCUCAUCAUACACGGGUUCCCCAACUUCCUCAAACUUCUCUAUCAUAUCCUCCUCAAUCAGAAGAUUUUUAUUCUUUUGACCAGCAGGCUUCCUGCAAUCAGUCGCCCUAUGCCCCUGUUCACCACACCUAAAGCACUUAAUACUUGAGCUGGAACUAUCCCACUGUGGCUGAUAAGCAGGACGAGAUUCUUGAGGGCGAAUUGGCUGACUUCCUUCACCUCUGACCACUGGCCUCCUACUUUGCUGUUUCUCUACUGCAAGUGCUUGCUGAUAUGCCUCGGAAACUGUCCACAAUGAAUGAAGGCUGAGAACAUCCUGCAAGGGCUGCCUUAAUCCCCCCAAAUACCGUGCUACCAUCUGUUCCUCCGUUUCAGAUAAAUCAUUCCAAGCCACAAACUGAUAGAAUUCUUCAGUAUAAUCAUUGACUGAUCUUGCGCCUUGCCUUAGUGAAUGGAGCCUCUGAAACAAGGUUUGAGUAUAGCCGAAAGGGAAGAAGUGCCAUUUCAUCUUCUUCUUCAUCUUCUCCCAGUUAGUAAUUUUGGAUUUCCCCUAUCGCUCCCGUGAGCGC